RNAcentral lists this ribosomal RNA (253 nucleotides) under uncultured bacterium. RNAcentral's name for it is "partial 16S ribosomal RNA". It matches the Rfam family "Bacterial small subunit ribosomal RNA", at positions 524 to 776 of the family's 1533-position model. The record is from RNAcentral.
GACGAAGGAUGCAAGCGUUAUCCGGAUUCAUUGGGUUUAAAGGGAGCGUAGGUGGCCUUAUAAGUCAGUGGUGAAAUCUUCGAGCUUAACUCGGAAAUUGCCAUUGAUACUGUAGGGCUUGAGUAUAGUUGCCGUUGGCGGAAUAUGACGUGUAGUGGUGAAAUACAUAGAGAUGUCAUAGAACACCGAUUGCGAAGGCAGCUGACGAAACUAUAACUGACACUGAGGCUCGAAAGUGCGGGGAUCAAACAGG